UGUAGUGUCAUGUUAAAGGGGGAGAUAACAUGGCUGUUAUAAAAUGUUGUAGUGUCAUGUUAACGGGGAGAUAACAUGGCUGCUAUAGAAUGUUGUAGUGUCAUGUUAAUGGGGGAGAUAAUAUGUCUGUUAUAGAGUGUUGUAGUGUCAUGUUAAUAGGGAGAUAACAUUAACAUGGCUGUUAUAGAGUGUUGUAGUGUCAUGUUAACGGGGAGAUAAUAUGGCUGUUAUAGAAUGUUGUAGUGUCAUGUUAAUGGGGGAGAUAACAUGUCUGUUAUAGAAUGUGGUAGUGUCAUGUUAAUGGGGGAGAUAACAUGGCUGUUAUAGAAUGUUGUAGUGUCAUGUUAAAGGGGGAGAUAACAUGGCUGUUAUAAAAUGUUGUAGUGUCAUGUUAAUGGGGGAGAUAAUAUGGCUGUUAUAGUAUGUUGUAGUGUCAUGUUAAUGGGGGAGAUAAUAUGUCUGUUAUAGAAUGUUGUAGUGUCAUGUUAACGGGGAGAUAACAUGGCUGUUAUAGAAUGUUGUAGUGUCAUGUUAAUGGGGAGAUAAUAUGUCUGUUAUAGAAUGUUGUAGUGUCAUGUUAACGGGGAGAUAACAUGGCUGUUAUAGAAUGUUGUAGUGUCAUGUUAACGGGGAGAUAACAUGGCUGUUAUAGAAUGUUGUAGUGUCAUGUUAAUGGGGGAGAUAAUAUGUAUGUUAAAGAAUGUUGUAGUGUCAUGUUAACGGGGGAGAUAACAUGGCUGUUAUAGAAUGUUGUAGUGUCAUGUUAAAAUGCAUCAUGAUGCAGAAACCUUAAUGUCCCAGCUUCCUAAAUAUAUUGCUCCGGAUAGGGCUCCUGUCUGCAGUGAGAGAAGAACUCCUCAGACCAGACAAAAAUAUAAUUCUGUCACAUGAACAAUCCAUAGCCUAAGAGCCUAAUAGUGGACCCAGUCCUCCUCUCCUCCUCUGCAACAGUGUGGUCUGACCCAGUCCUCCUCCUGUCCUCUAAAACAGUGUGAUCUGACCUAGUCCUCCUCUCCUCCUCUGCAACAGUGUGAGCUGACCCAGUCCUCCUCCCUUCCUCUGCAACAGUGUGGUCUGGCUGGCCCAGUCCUCCUCCCUUCCUCUGCAACAGUGUGAGCUGACCCAGUCCUCCUCUCCUCCUCUGCAACAGUGUGAGCUGGCUGGCCCAGUCCUCCUCCCUUCCUCUACAACAGUGUGAGCUGGCUGGCCCAGUCCUCCUCCCGUCCUUUGCAACAGUGUGGUCUGAUCCAUUCCUACUCUGCAACAGUGUGGGCUGGCUGGCCCAGUCCUCCUCCCUUCCUCUACAACAGUGUGGGCUGGCUGGCCCAGUCCUCCUCCCUUCCUCUACAACAGUGUGGGCUGACUGGCCCAGUCCUCCUCCCUUCCUCUCCAACAGUGUGGGCUGGCUGGCCCAGUCCUCCUCCCAUCCUCUACAACAGUGUGGGCUGGCUGGCCCAGUCCUCCCCCCCCUCCUCUGCAACAGUGUGGGCUCUGGCUGGCCCAGUCCUCCCCCUCCUCUGCAACAGUGUGGGCUGGCUGGCCCAGUCCCCCUCCCCCUCUGCAACAGUGUGGGCUGGCUGGCCCAGUCCUCCUCUACAACAGUGUGGGCUGGCUGGCCCAGUCCUCCCCCCUCCUCUGCAACAGUGUGGGCAGGCUGGCCCAGUCCUCCUCUGCAACAGUGUGGGCUGGCUGGCCCAGUCCUCCCCCCCCCUCUGCAACAGUGUGGGCAGGCUGGCCCAGUCCUCCUCUGCAACAGUGUGGGCUGGCUGGCCCAGUCCUCCCCCUCCUCUGCAACAGUGUGGGCUGGCUGGCCCAGUUCUCCCC
Oncorhynchus tshawytscha (Chinook salmon) is the source of this 1824-nucleotide long non-coding RNA. The record is from Ensembl. NCBI's taxonomy places the organism in Eukaryota, Metazoa, Chordata, Actinopteri, Salmoniformes, Salmonidae.